GGGCGCUGUGGCUCACGCCUGUAAUCCCAGCACUUUGGGAGGCCGAGGCGGGUGGAUCACCUGAGGUCAGGAGUUCGAGACCAGCGUGGCCAACAUGGCGAAACCCCGUCUCUACUAAAAAUACAAAAAUUAGCCGGGCGUGGUGGCGCGCGCCUGUAAUCCCAGCUACUCAGGAGGCUGAGGCAGGAGAAUCGCUUGAACCCUGGAGACGGAGGUUGCAGUGAGCCAAGAUCAUGC
This 237-nucleotide long non-coding RNA is filed under the name Homo sapiens (human). RNAcentral's name for it is "HSALNT0322067". The record is from RNAcentral. Lineage: Eukaryota; Metazoa; Chordata; Mammalia; Primates; Hominidae.